This is a long non-coding RNA of Xiphophorus hellerii (green swordtail), 2316 nucleotides long. RefSeq lists it as uncharacterized. NCBI's taxonomy places the organism in Eukaryota, Metazoa, Chordata, Actinopteri, Cyprinodontiformes, Poeciliidae. The transcript has 3 exons. The record is from RefSeq and is a predicted model, not a curated record.
UGUGCGUGCGUAACAAGAUUUGUAAACCUUAAAAAUAAAAUACAUGUUGAUAAAGUACACACAAAUCACCUGGUACGCACACACAAAACUGCAGUUACACACAAAUCCGGUUACGAGUGCACAACUAUUUUUGAGACUCAUUUCACGCCUCGGUGGAAGCUCCAAGAUUUGUGUGUAGAUGGUGCGUUUACAUGCUAGUAAAAGCUGGGACAUCUGAGUUUUCUUCGGAACUGUUUCUUUUUUCCAUAGUUCAAUACGUAUUUCUCUCUUUACUUGUCUCGUGGCUUAGACAUAUUUUUGUGAGAGAAAAAUACAUAUGUCAUUACACCCACGACUACUUUUUAAUACUAUAAGAUUGUUUAUAUAUGAAUCCGCAUUUGGGACCUAUACAACUGUAAUUACUUGGGUAAAAAAUUCGACCACUAGGUGGUGGAAGUUUAUUCCGCUCUGACUGGGAAAAGCCUUCAUUCAAACUGAGAGAAGAAACAAGAGAAUGGCGGGUCAGCCGAGUGAUCGUGUUCGUAUUCGUGGUCUACCGUCCGAAGUAAGUGGAUGUUAAAAUUUGCACGUUUUACUGACCGUUGUAAUGCGUAUUUUUUAGAUUAUUUCAGAUUAUGUUUUACGUUUCAAGUAGUUCGACCCAAAGUUCUCGCCCUUCUAUGUUAGCAAUAGCUCAUGUCUACGUUAGCUAAGCUACUAUUAGUCCUCAUUAGUAUCGGUACAGUUUAAAACAGUAUCUUCCUGGCCCAUUACAGCUAUGUCUACGUUUAUCCCCAUGCUCAGCUAUUUUUAUGAUGCCGACAAUAAUGUAGGCUUAGGUGACGUCUUUUAUUAUUUGAAGGAUUCAUCCCAGUUCUCCUCACUAAUUGUAGUUUUUGAUUUAAUUUUUUUUUAGUUCUGCUACAGACUUAUGUUUCGUCUAUCACCUAUAUAUUUUAUAUCUUACUGUAAUCACUUAAGAUUUACUCUUCUCUACAUUUCUUCCUGGAAUAUGAUGGUCAUUGCUUUCAUACCAGAAAUAAAUACGUAGAACAUCUCUUAACAAAUGUACAAAUGUAUUCUAUGCCAUACAUAUACAUCUGCACCGUUUUUUUAUAUUAGUUUCAUGCAGAUCAUCAAUAUUUCAAAUUUUGAAAAUAUAACCUCAUCCAACACUGAAGCACUUGUAAGCAGCUGAAUAUAAGUGUAGUAACUCGGCUGAAUCUUUAAAAUAUUAAUAUUUCUGUUACUUCAUUAUGAGCAAACCACAUUUCUCAUUACUUCCAUGUGAUGACUUACAUUUUUGGACAGAUAAUAUGUUAAGUUGUGCUUCACAUUAACUAAAUUGUAAUUGUAGCCAUCUAGUGAAAUUAUAUUUCUAUUGUCCCCAAAAAGUGCUAAUAAUGUCAAACUUAUGAUAAAUUACUGUAUUGACAGUGUAAUGGUCAACUUUAACAAACUGUUCUUUAAUUCAUUUUUAUCUGUUUUGAAGGACUUGCUGACGCUCAUUUAAGAAAAUGGAGAGAGAUCAACAAGAUCAGUGGGAUAGAGAGGUUGUGGCGUGAUCUGUGGAUGGGAGUCACAUGUGUUUUCUACAAUGUUCUACACCAACUGGAGGAAGAAAACCUCUUGGAUCUUAGCAAUCCUCUGCACUUGUUUUGCUGUCAUUAUGUUUUCUUGCCUCGCUUGCAAGUGCAUCUUGACAUAUUUAAACAAGGAUGGGACAAUCACCCAAUGAGAACUGAACAAAACCUCACUCCAAAUCAGUUGUGGGAACUGGGACAGAUCGGACAUUCAGUGGUUGACCCAGAGAUUCCCCAUAUAAACUGGGAGGAAAGUGGGCUUGUUCCUGAUCCACAUGCUGAAUUGCGAGUACCAGAGUUGGACAGCCCACUUACAGAAGAUCAGAUGGAGCUUCUCCGUGAAAACAUUGACCCCCUACAACCUUCAGAGUCUAGUGGCAUGGACAUUUACAUGGAUACUCUGCAAUAUUUGGAAACUUUACUUGUGACAAAUUAGAUGUCACUUAAAUUUAAAUGUUUGUAAUGAACAGCAUUUUCAAUACCAUUUAUUUAAAAAAUCCAUCAAACAUGUACAAAUAUACAAGCAAGUACAAGCUAGAGAAAGAACCAGCUGGCAAAAAUAUUAACUUUAUAAAGUUUAAUGUACACCAGAAAUAUGAAAAUUAUUUUAUGUUUGAAUGCCAAACAUUUGUGGAAUAUUUCAGCAAAAACCCACAUGAUGAACAGGGAUGCCUGACAAACAUUUAGUAGUCACCUCAGGAACACAACUUCAUGUCAAGACUGUGUUGAUGGACAUUAUUUGUAAAAAAAAAAA